RNAcentral lists this ribosomal RNA (492 nucleotides) under uncultured bacterium. Its description in RNAcentral is "partial 16S ribosomal RNA". It matches the Rfam family "Bacterial small subunit ribosomal RNA", at positions 28 to 507 of the family's 1533-position model. The record is from RNAcentral.
GAUGAACGCUAGCUACAGGCUUAACACAUGCAAGUCGAGGGGCAGCGGUAUCGAAAGCUUGCUUUCGGUAGCCGGCGACCGGCGCACGGGUGAGUAACGCGUAUCGAACCUGCCUCAUACUCGGGAAUAGCCUUGCGAAAGUAAGAUUAAUGCCCGGUGUUUUCAGAGUCCCGCAUGAGGCUUUGAACAAAGAUUUAUCGGUAUGAGAUGGCGAUGCGUCCCAUUAGCUUGUUGGCGGGGUAACGGCCCACCAAGGCAUCGAUGGGUAGGGGUUCUGAGAGGAGGGUCCCCCACAUUGGAACUGAGACACGGUCCAAACUCGUACGGGAGGCAGCAGUGAGGAAUAGUGAUCAAUGGGCGGAAGCCUGAACCAGCCAAGUAGCGUGCAGGAAGACGGCCCUCCGGGUUGUAAACUGCUUUUAGUUGGGAAUAAAACGGGGCUCGUGAGCCCCCUUGCAUGUACCAUCAGAAAAAGGACCGGCUAAUUCCGUG